This is a non-coding RNA of Pimephales promelas (fathead minnow), 256 nucleotides long. NCBI's taxonomy places the organism in Eukaryota, Metazoa, Chordata, Actinopteri, Cypriniformes, Leuciscidae. The record is from RefSeq and is a predicted model, not a curated record.
AGAACACCUGUGUCGGACUAUAAUGCCUGCUACAGAGCCAGCUAAUCCGCUGAAUGGAGAUUGAACAGAAAAUGUCCCAAUCAAAGUCACGCGAGGCAACGAGUCAUCCUUCUGAAGCUCUUCCCAGUCAGGAGAAAUGGUGGGACCUCUUUCAGGAGCGAUUGGCUCCCUUCCAAUCUCAGGAUGGAGAGCGACCUCAGCGAUUGGAUGAGGUGAUGGUGACGGAAACAGCCAAUCCUGAUCCAGGUGCCGCCAG